CCUUCAUUUUGUAAACAGACAGUGAGGAAACUCAGGACGACUUGGACACAGAGUCUCAUACAGAGUGUAAUAAAACUGAUGGAACAACAUAUGUGAUGAGCUGGAUCCUCGGUGGUCUGACUGUUUUCCUUCUCGUGGUCGUUACUGGUCUGGUUGUUUCACGCAUAAAACUUCAAGCAGCUUUGAAUGAGGGACAGAAAAAACAUCAGCAGGAGAAUCCAGCCUCUGAUGAACUGAACUACGCAGCAGUGAAUUUCCGUCAAAAAGAAAGACGAAGAGAAGUGGAGCCGAACGUUGUGUAUUCUGCUACUAGAUAGACUGAAGAAGCAACAAACACAGGUCAGAGCAAACUGAGGACUGAUUUAUAACAAGCUGCAAAUGAACUGUGACCGAUGCUCAUGAGAAUCUGUAAUUUUUUUGUCAAAACAAACCUAGUAUCAUAUUUUAUUCUCUAUUUGUUUUUGUGACGAUAGAAAUUAAAGUAUUUACAACAUUUCUACAUGUACUAGAGUAGGAAUAACUAUGAACCAGCAUCUAUCUAGU
Betta splendens (Siamese fighting fish) is the source of this 543-nucleotide long non-coding RNA. RefSeq lists it as uncharacterized. Lineage: Eukaryota; Metazoa; Chordata; Actinopteri; Anabantiformes; Osphronemidae. The transcript has 4 exons. The record is from RefSeq and is a predicted model, not a curated record.